RNAcentral lists this ribosomal RNA (776 nucleotides) under uncultured Neocallimastigales. RNAcentral describes it as "partial large subunit ribosomal RNA". It matches the Rfam family "Eukaryotic large subunit ribosomal RNA", at positions 23 to 628 of the family's 3401-position model. Lineage: Eukaryota; Fungi; Neocallimastigomycota; Neocallimastigomycetes; Neocallimastigales. The record is from RNAcentral.
AGAGAGAGACAUGCGCGCAUAUCAAUAAGCGGAGGAAAAGAAACUAACAAGGAUUCCCUUAGUAACGGCGAGUGAAGCGGGAAGAGCUCAAAUUUGAAAUCUUCAAGGUUUUACCUUGACGAAUUGUAGUUUAAAGAAGUGUUUUCUGUUGAAGUUUUCGGUAAAAGUUCUUUGGAAUAGGACAUCAUAGAGGGUGAGAAUCCCGUAUUUGACCAUUAUUUUCAGCUUUGUGAUACACUUUCAAAGAGUCGGAUUGUUUGGGAAUGCAGUCCAAAAUGGGUGGUAAAUUUCAUCUAAAGCUAAAUAUUGGCGAGAGACCGAUAGCGAACAAGUACCGUGAGGGAAAGAUGAAAAGAACUUUGAAAAGAGAGUUAAACAGUACGUGAAAUUGUCAAAAGGGAAGCGUUUGACACCAGUGUUGUUUUCCUCGAAAAUCAAUUAAAAAUGGCUCGAUUUUGUAUUGUUGAGACCUUAAAAGCUCACUGUACAUUUUUCGUGUCUUUUUUAAUGCACUUUUCGUUUAACAAGUCAACAUCAGUUUCUUUUGUUGUAAAAGGGUCAUUGGAAGGUGGCUUUCUUUUCGGAGAAAGUGUUUAUAGCCUUUGGCCUCUGCAAUCGAAGAGACUGAGGUCUGCAGCGUAGACUCUUCGGGGUUAGAUACAUUUGUGCUAAGUUAUAGCUUUUUAUAGACAACUUGUUGACUAUAAUUAGUCUUGUAGCUUACUCGCUUAUGCUAUUUUACCUACGCUUAGGAUGUUGAGUCGUAGAGCACGCAG